GUCUCACUCUGUUGCCCAAGCUGAAGUGCAGUGGUGUGAUCAUAGCCCCUGGGUUCAAGCCAUCCUCUUGAGUAGCUGGGAUUACAGGUGCACACCACCAUGCCUAGGUAAUUAAAAAAAAUUUUGUAUGUAGAAACAGGGUCUCAUGUAACUCCUGGGCUAAACGAUCCUCCCACUGUGGCCUCCUAAAGUGCGGGGGUUAUAGGUGUGAGCCUGAGCCGCUGCACCCAGCCUGUGUGGUCUGUUUUUAGUGUCUGUUGUUUCUGCUGGUUCAUGCUCCUGGCUCCUUAGUUUCUUGUGUGCUUGGCUGUCUGUGGCAGUGUGCAGCUCAUUAUGUUUGAAGAAUUAUUUGUAGGGGUUCCUAGAUGCCAAAGACGAGGUACCUUCCUCCAGAGAGGGUUUGCUUUUGCUUUUGCUUUUGCUAGGUGUCUUUGGGUCUGUUCAGCCUGAGAGUGACCAAGUUCACAGGAUGAAAUUCUGUGAAACUCCCAGGUAGCAAGUCAGUGUAGGGCUGUGUCGGGCUGAUCCAUGGUCAUGAUUUAUCAGGAGAGUGUUUUUUUUUUUUUUUACAUUAUUCUUCUGUAUUUUUUUGAGAGACAAGGUCUCACUCUGUCAUCCAGGCUGGAGUGCAGUGGUGCAAUCGUGGCUCACUGCAGCCUUGAACUCCU
RNAcentral lists this long non-coding RNA (668 nucleotides) under Homo sapiens (human). RNAcentral describes it as "HSALNT0049978". The record is from RNAcentral. Lineage: Eukaryota; Metazoa; Chordata; Mammalia; Primates; Hominidae.